This 372-nucleotide ribosomal RNA is filed under the name uncultured bacterium. Its description in RNAcentral is "bacterial SSU rRNA". It matches the Rfam family "Bacterial small subunit ribosomal RNA", at positions 790 to 1167 of the family's 1533-position model. The record is from RNAcentral.
GUAGUCCACGCCCUAAACGAUGUCUACUAGUUGUCGGGUUUUAAUUAACUUGGUAACGCAGCUAACGCGUGAAGUAGACCGCCUGGGGAGUACGGUCGCAAGAUUAAAACUCAAAGGAAUUGACGGGGACCCGCACAAGCGGUGGAUGAUGUGGAUUAAUUCGAUGCAACGCGAAAAACCUUACCUACCCUUGACAUGUACGGAAGCCACGAGAGAUCGAGGUGUGCUCGAAAGAGAGCCGUAACACAGGUGCUGCAUGGCUGUCGUCAGCUCGUGUCGUGAGAUGUUGGGUUAAGUCCCGCAACGAGCGCAACCCUUGUCAUUAGUUGCUACGAAAGAGCACUCUAAUGAGACUGCCGGUGACAAACCGGA